GGGACACGUGGUAUCCUGUCUGAAUAUGGGGGGACCAUCCUCCAAGGCUAAAUACUCCUGACUGACCGAUAGUGAACCAGUACCGUGAGGGAAAGGCGAAAAGAACCCCGGCGAGGGGAGUGAAAAAGAACCUGAAACCGUGUACGUACAAGCAGUGGGAGCACGCUUAGGCGUGUGACUGCGUACCUUUUGUAUAAUGGGUCAGCGACUUAUAUUCUGUAGCAAGGUUAACCGAAUAGGGGAGCCGAAGGGAAACCGAGUCUUAACUGGGCGUUAAGUUGCAGGGUAUAGACCCGAAACCCGGUGAUCUAGCCAUGGGCAGGUUGAAGGUUGGGUAACACUAACUGGAGGACCGAACCGACUAAUGUUGAAAAAUUAGCGGAUGACUUGUGGCUGGGGGUGAAAGGCCAAUCAAACCGGGAGAUAGCUGGUUCUCCCCGAAAGCUAUUUAGGUAGCGCCUCGUGAAUUCAUCUCCGGGGGUAGAGCACUGUUUCGGCAAGGGGGUCAUCCCGACUUACCAACCCGAUGCAAACUGCGAAUACCGGAGAAUGUUAUCACGGGAGACACACGGCGGGUGCUAACGUCCGUCGUGAAGAGGGAAACAACCCAGACCGCCAGCUAAGGUCCCAAAGUCAUGGUUAAGUGGGAAACGAUGUGGGAAGGCCCAGACAGCCAGGAUGUUGGCUUAGAAGCAGCCAUCAUUUAAAGAAAGCGUAAUAGCUCACUGGUCGAGUCGGCCUGCGCGGAAGAUGUAACGGGGCUAAACCAUGCACCGAAGCUGCGGCAGCGACACUGUGUGUUGUUGGGUAGGGGAGCGUUCUGUAAGCCUGUGAAGGUGUGCUGUGAGGCAUGCUGGAGGUAUCAGAAGUGCGAAUGCUGACAUAAGUAACGAUAAAGCGGGUGAAAAGCCCGCUCGCCGGAAGACCAAGGGUUCCUGUCCAACGUUAAUCGGGGCAGGGUGAGUCGACCCCUAAGGCGAGGCCGAAAGGCGUAGUCGAUGGGAAACAGGUUAAUAUUCCUGUACUUGGUGUUACUGCGAAGGGGGGACGGAGAAGGCUAUGUUGGCCGGGCGACGGUUGUCCCGGUUUAAGCGUGUAGGCUGGUUUUCCAGGCAAAUCCGGAAAAUCAAGGCUGAGGCGUGAUGACGAGGCACUACGGUGCUGAAGCAACAAAUGCCCUGCUUCCAGGAAAAGCCUCUAAGCAUCAGGUAACAUCAAAUCGUACCCCAAACCGACACAGGUGGUCAGGUAGAGAAUACCAAGGCGCUUGAGAGAACUCGGGUGAAGGAACUAGGCAAAAUGGUGCCGUAACUUCGGGAGAAGGCACGCUGAUAUGUAGGUGAAGUCCCUCGCGGAUGGAGCUGAAAUCAGUCGAAGAUACCAGCUGGCUGCAACUGUUUAUUAAAAACACAGCACUGUGCAAACACGAAAGUGGACGUAUACGGUGUGACGCCUGCCCGGUGCCGGAAGGUUAAUUGAUGGGGUUAGCCGCAAGGCGAAGCUCUUGAUCGAAGCCCCGGUAAACGGCGGCCGUAACUAUAACGGUCCUAAGGUAGCGAAAUUCCUUGUCGGGUAAGUUCCGACCUGCACGAAUGGCGUAAUGAUGGCCAGGCUGUCUCCACCCGAGACUCAGUGAAAUUGAACUCGCUGUGAAGAUGCAGUGUACCCGCGGCAAGACGGAAAGACCCCGUGAACCUUUACUAUAGCUUGACACUGAACAUUGAGCCUUGAUGUGUAGGAUAGGUGGGAGGCUUUGAAGUGUGGACGCCAGUCUGCAUGGAGCCGACCUUGAAAUACCACCCUUUAAUGUUUGAUGUUCUAACGUGGACCCGU
This 1833-nucleotide ribosomal RNA is filed under the name Escherichia coli. RNAcentral's name for it is "partial 23S ribosomal RNA". It matches the Rfam family "Bacterial large subunit ribosomal RNA", at positions 419 to 2236 of the family's 2925-position model. Lineage: Bacteria; Pseudomonadati; Pseudomonadota; Gammaproteobacteria; Enterobacterales; Enterobacteriaceae. The record is from RNAcentral.